CGGGGUGCAGCAGGCGCGAAAACUUUACAAUGCGGGAAACCGUGAUAAGGGGACACCGAGUGCCAGCAUCAUAUGCUGGCUGUCCAGGUGUGUAAAAUACACCUGUUAGCAAGGGCCGGGCAAGACCGGUGCCAGCCGCCGCGGUAACACCGGCGGCCCGAGUGGUGAUCGUGAUUAUUGGGUCUAAAGGGUCCGUAGCCGGUUUGGUCAGUCCUCCGGGAAAUCUGACGGCUCAACCGUUAGGCUUUCGGGGGAUACUGCCAGGCUUGGAACCGGGAGAGGUAAGAGGUACUACAGGGGUAGGAGUGAAAUCUUGUAAUCCCUGUGAGACCACCUGUGGCGAAGGCGUCUUACCAGAACGGGUUCGACGGUGAGGGACGAAAGCUGGGGGCACGAACCGGAUUAGAUACCCGGGUAGUCCCAGCCGUAAACGAUGCUCGCUAGGUGUCAGGCAUGGCGCGACCGUGUCUGGUGCCGCAGGGAAGCCGUGAAGCGAGCCACCUGGGAAGUACGGCCACAAGGCUGAAACUUAAAGGAAUUGGCGGGGGAGCACAAGGGCGAAUCGCG
Molecule: ribosomal RNA, 567 nt
Filed under: uncultured archaeon
Lineage: Archaea
Description: bacterial SSU rRNA
Rfam family: Archaeal small subunit ribosomal RNA
Source: RNAcentral